RNAcentral lists this ribosomal RNA (433 nucleotides) under uncultured bacterium. RNAcentral describes it as "partial 16S ribosomal RNA". It matches the Rfam family "Bacterial small subunit ribosomal RNA", at positions 29 to 507 of the family's 1533-position model. The record is from RNAcentral.
AACGAACGCUGGCGGCAUGCCUAACACAUGCGAGUCGAACGAGACCUUCGGGUCUAGUGGCGCACGGGUGCAUAACGCGUGGGAACCUGCCCUUAGGUUCGGAAUAACUCCCCGAAAGGGGUGCUAAUACCGGAUAAUGUCUUCGGACCAAAGAUUUAUCGCCUUUGGAUGGGCCCGCGUUGGAUUAGCUAGUUGGUAGGGUAAAAGCCUACCAAGGCGACGAUCCAUAGCUGGUCUGAGAGGAUGAUCAGCCACACUGGGACUGAGACACGGCCCAGACUCCUACGGGAGGCAGCAGUGGGGAAUAUUGGACAAUGGGCGAAAGCCUGAUCCAGCAAUGCCGCGUGAGUGAUGAAGGCCUUAGGGUUGUAAAGCUCUUUUACCCGGGAUGAUAAUGACAGUACCGGGAGAAUAAGCGCCGGCUAACUCCGUG